RNAcentral lists this ribosomal RNA (429 nucleotides) under Bacillota bacterium. Its description in RNAcentral is "Firmicutes bacterium partial 16S ribosomal RNA". It matches the Rfam family "Bacterial small subunit ribosomal RNA", at positions 355 to 776 of the family's 1533-position model. The record is from RNAcentral. Lineage: Bacteria; Bacillati; Bacillota.
UAGGGAAUCUUCGGCAAUGGACGGAAGUCUGACCGAGCAACGCCGCGUGAGUGAAGAAGGUCUUCGGAUCGUAAAGCUCUGUUGUUAGAGAAGAACGUUGGUAGGAGUGGAAAAUCUACCAAGUGACGGUAACUAACCAGAAAGGGACGGCUAACUACGUGCCAGCAGCCGCGGUAAUACGUAGGUCCCGAGCGUUGUCCGGAUUUAUUGGGCGUAAAGCGAGCGCAGGCGGUUCUUUAAGUCUGAAGUUAAAGGCAGUGGCUUAACCAUUGUACGCUUUGGAGACUGGAGGACUAGAGUGCAGAAGGGGAGGGUGGAAUUCCAUGUGUAGCGGUGAAAUGCGUAGAUAUAUGGAGGAACACCGGUGGCGAAAGCGGCUCUCUGGUCUGUAACUGACGCUGAGGCUCGAAAGCGUGGGGAGCAAACAGG